GUGCCAGCCGCCGCGGUAAUACGGAAGGCCCGGGCGUUAUCCGGAUUUAUUGGGUUUAAAGGGAGCGUAGGCCGCCUCUUAAGCGUGUUGUGAAAUGCGGGUGCUCAACAUCCGACUUGCAGCGCGAACUGGGGGGCUUGAGUGCGCCGAAAGUAGGCGGAAUUCGUGGUGUAGCGGUGAAAUGCUUAGAUAUCACGAAGAACUCCGAUUGCGUAGGCAGCUUGCUGUAGCGUAACCGACGCUGAAGCUCGAAGGUGCGGGUAUCGAACAGGAUUAGAUACCCUGGUAGUCCGCGCGGUAAACGAUGGAUGCCCGCUGUUCGCCAGAUUUUGGUGAGUGGCCAAGCGAAAGCGUUAAGCAUCCCACCUGGGGAGUACGCCGGCAACGGUGAAACUCAAAUGAAUUGACGG
Molecule: ribosomal RNA, 410 nt
Filed under: uncultured bacterium
Lineage: Bacteria
Description: bacterial SSU rRNA
Rfam family: Bacterial small subunit ribosomal RNA
Source: RNAcentral